This 4464-nucleotide long non-coding RNA is filed under the name Lactuca sativa (garden lettuce). Its description in RNAcentral is "long non-coding RNA (LSAT_LNC000124)". The record is from RNAcentral. Lineage: Eukaryota; Viridiplantae; Streptophyta; Magnoliopsida; Asterales; Asteraceae.
UUGUGAUGUGGUGCCUAUGUGACAUGAAAAAAAGUAUGACAAAAGUGACACCACUCCCUCUGGCGUAAGGGACGGAACCAUGUCUAAAAUUUGAAAGUAUGACUACAAACUAGGAGUAGAAGUGUGAUUUACUAAUAAAUAUAUGCAUAUACUAGGCAUAUGGUAAUCAUACCGUGCGGUGUCAAUUUUUAAAUUAUCGUAUAUAAUAAUAUUUGUUUGUGACAUGUGUGAUAUAUAAACCACACAUAUGUUUAUAAGUGGGUAUCAUCCUAUAAGACUUUAAGGGUAUAAUUUAAAAAACUAAAAUUUCGAUCUAGAUUUUGAAGAGAUCGCCAGUAGACUACAAUUUCGUAGCAUACUUAAAAUCAUUACCAAUAACGAUUAAGCUAGGAGAACGCGUCAACCUACUUGUGAUGUGGCGCCCACAUGGCAUGAAAAAUAGUAUGACAAAAGUGGCACUACUCCCUCUUGCGUAAGGGACGUAACCAUGUCUAAAAUUUAAAAGUUUGACUAAAAACAGGCACUAGAAGUGUGAUUUACUCAUAAAUAUAUGCAUAUACUAGGCAUAUGGUAACCAUAUCGUGCAUUGUCAAUUUUUAACUUAUCCUACAUAAUAAUAUAUGUGUGUGACAUGUGUGAUAUAUAAACCAUACACAUGUUUAUAAGUGGGUAUCUUCGUAUAAGACUCUUUACGGGUACCAUUUAAAAUGGUAAAAAUUCAAUUAAGAUUUUGUAGAGAUUGCCAGAAGACUUCAAUUUCCUAGCGCAUUUAAAAUCAUUACCACUAACGAUUAAGCCAGGAGAUGGACUCAACCUAGUUGUGAUGUCUGCCUACGUGGCAUGAAAACAGUAUGACAAAAGUGACUACUCCCUCUAGCGUAAUGGACGGAACCAUGUCAAAAAUUUAAAAGUUUGACUAAAAACAUGGACUAGAAGAGUAAUUUACACGUAAAUAUAUGUAUAUGGUAAUCAUAUCGUGCAAUGUCAAUUUCUAACUUAUCCUACAUAAUAAUAUUUGUUUGUGAUAUGUGUGAUAUAUAAACCACACAAAUGUUUAUAAGUUGGUAUUAUCCUAUAAGAUUUUAAGGGUAUAAUUUAAAACACUAGAAAUUCAAUCUAGAUUUUGCAAAGAUCGCCAGUAGACUACAAUUUCCAGAGAUAUUUUAAAUCAUUACCACUAACGAUUAAGACAGGAGAACGACUCAACGUAGUUGUGAUGUGGCGCCUACUUGGCAUGAAAAAUAAUAUGACAAAAGUGGCACUAUUCCCUCUAGUGUAAGGGAUGGAACCAUGUCAAAAAUUUAAAAGUUUGCCCAAAAACUAGGACUAGAAGUGUGAUUUACUAAUAAAUAUAUGCAUAUCCUAGGCGUAUGGUAAUCAUAUUGCGCGGUGUCAAUUUUUAAAUUAUCGUACAUAAUAAUAUUUGUUUAUGACAUGUGUCAUAUAUAAACAGCACACAUGUUUAUAUGUAGGUAUCAUCCUAUAAUACUUUAAGGGUAUAAUUUUAAAAACUAAAAAUUCAAUCUAGAUUUUGCAGAGAUCACCAGUAGACUACAAUUUCCUAGCUUACUUAAAAACAUUACCACUAACGAUUAAGUCAAGAGAACGACUCAACCUAGUUGUGAUGUGGCCUACAUGGCAUGAAAAAUAGUAUGUCAAAAGUGGCACUACUCCCUCUGGCGUAAGGGACGGAACCAUGUCUAAAAUUUGAAAGUCUGACUAAAAACUAGGAGUAGAAGUGUGAUUUACUAAUAAAUAAAUGCAUAUACUAGGCAUAUGGUAAUCAUAUCGUGCGGUGUCAAUUUUUAAAUUAUCGUACAUAACAAUAUUUGUUUGUGACAUGUGUGAUAUAUAAACCACACAUAUGUUUAUAAGUGGGUAUCAUCCUAUAAGACUUUAAGGGUAUAAUUUAAAAAACUAAAAUUUCAAUCUAGAUUUUGAAGAGAUCGUCAUUAGACUACAAUUUCCUAGCAUACUUAAAAUCAUUACCACUAACGAUUAAGCUAGGAGAACGUGUCAACCUACUUGUGAUGUGGCGCCCACGUGGCAUGAAAAAUAGUAUGACAAAAGUGGCACUACUCCCUCUCGCGUAAUAGACGAAACCAUGUCUAAAAUUUAAAAGUUUGACUAAAAACAGGCACUAGAAGUGUGAUUUACUCGUAAAUAUAUGCAUAUACUAGGCAAAUGGUAACCAUAUCGUGCAUUGUCAAUUUUUAACUUAUCCUACAUAAUAAUAUAUGUGUGUGAUAUAUAAACCAUACACAUGUUUAUAAGUGGGUAUCUUCGUAUAAGACUCUUUAUGGGUACAAUUUAAAAUGGUAAAAAUUCAAUCCAGAUUUUGUAGAGAUUGCCAGAAGACUUCAAUUUCCUAGCGUGUUUAAAAUCAUUACCACUAACGAUUAAGCCAGGAGAUGGACUCAACCUAGUUGUGAUGUCUGCCUACGUGGCAUGAAAAUAGUAUGACAAAAGUGACUACUCCCUCUAGCGUAAUGGACGGAACCAUGUCAAAAAUUUAAAAGUUUGAUUAAAAACAUUGACUAGAAGAGUAAUUUUCACGUAAAUAUAUGCAUAUGGUAAUCAUAUCGUGCAAUGUCAAUUUCUAACUUAUCCUACAUAAUAAUAUUUGUUUGUGACAUGUGUGAUAUAUAAACCACACAAAUGUUUAUAAGUUGCUAUUAUCCUAUAAGAUUUUAAGGGUAUAAUUUAAAACACUAGAAAUUCAAUCUAGAUUUUGCAAAGAUCGCCAGUAGACUACAAUUUCCAGACAUAUUUUAAAUCAUUACCACUAACAAUUAAGACAGGAGAACGACUCAACCUAGUUGUGAUGUGGCGCUUACGUGGCAUGAAAAAUAGUUUGACAAAAGUGGCACUACUCCCUCUUGCGUAAGGGACGUAACCAUGUCUAAAAUUUAAAAGUUUGACUAAAAACAAGGACUAGAAGUUUGAUUUACUCACAAAUAUAUUCAUAUACUAGGCAUAUGGUAACCAUAUCUUGCAUUGUCAAUUUUUAACUUAUCCUACAUAAUAAUAUAUGUGUGUGACGAGUGUGAUAUAUAAACCAUACACAUUUUUAUAAGUGGGUAUCUUCAUAUAAGACUCUUUAUGGGUACAAUUUAAAAUGAUAAAAAUUCAAUCCAGAUUUUGAAAAGAUCGCCAGGUGACUUCAAUUCCGUAGCAUAUUAAAUAUCAUUACCACUAAAGAUUAAGCCAAGAGAAGGACUCAACCUAGUUGUGAUGUGUGCCUACGUGGCAUGAAAACAAUAUGACUAAAGUGACUACUCCCUCUAGCGAAGGGAUGGAACCAUGUCAAAAAUUUAAAAGUUUGACUAAAAACAUGGACUAGAAGUGUAAUUUACACGUAAAUAUAUGCAUAUGGUAAUCAUAUCACGCAAUGUCAAUUUCUAACUUAUCCUACAUAAUAAUAUUUGUUUGUGACAUGUGUGAUAUAUAAUUAUAAACCACACAAAUGUUUAUAAGUUGGUAUUGUCCUAUAAGAAUUUAAUGGUAUAAUUUAAAACACUAAAAAUUCAAUCUAGAUUUUGCAAACAUCGCCAGUAGACUACAAUUUCCUAGCAUACGUAAAAUCAUUACCACUAACGAUUUAGCCAGAAGAAGAGUCAACCUAGUUGUGAUGUGGCGCCUACGUGGGAUGAAAAACAAUAUGAUAAAAAUGGCACUACUCCUUCUAGCGUAAGGGAUGAGACCAUGUCAAAAAUUUAAAAGUUUGACUAAAAACACGGAGUAGAAGUGUAAUUUACAUGUAAAUAUAUGCAUAUAAUAGGCAUAUGGUUAUCAUAUCGCGCAGUGUCAACUUUUAAUUUAUCCUACAUAAUAAUAUUUGUUUGUGAAGUGUGUGAUGUAUAAACUACACAAAUGUUUAUAAGUGGGUAUCUUCCUAUAAGACUUUAAGGGUACAAUUUAAAACACUAAAAGUUCAGUCCAGAUUUUACAAAGAUCGCAGUAGACUAUAAUUUCCUUGCAUACUUAAAAUCAUUACUACUAACAAUUAAGGCAACAGAAGGACUUAACCUAGUUGUGAUGUGAGCCUAAGUGGCAUGAAAACAGUAUGACAAAAGUGAUUACUCCCUCUAGCGCAAGGGAAAGAACCAUGUCAAUAUUUUUUAAAAGUUUGACUAAAAACAUGGACUAGAAGUGUAAUUUACACGUAAAUAUAUGUAUAUGGUAAUCAUAUCGUGCAAUGUCAAUUUCUAACUUAUCCUACAUAAUAAUAUUUGUUUGUGACAUGUGUGAUAUAUAAACCACACAAAUGUUUACAAGUUGGUAUAGUCCUAUAAGACUUUAAGGGUAUAAUUUAAAACACUAAAAAUUCAAUCUAGAUUUUGCAGAGAUCGCCAGUAAACUACAAUUUCCUAGCAUACUUAAAAUCGUUACCGCUAACGAUUAAGCCGGAAGAAGACUCAACCUAGUUGUGAUGAGCCUACGUGGCAUGAAAAAAAGUAUGAC